GCUGGGCAGGGCACAAACAGAAUCUGGCUUGUUUCCUAUGGGAUCCCACAGCUUCCAUGCAGGUUCAGCUUCUUCCAUGACACAGUACAGAAAAUAUUUUUGCUAAUAUGUCAUUUGUGGUGUGUGCUUGAAUCAACGAAACAGAGAAAUGAAGGCUUCUGGUGGCAGAAAAUUAAAAUACAAUUUUUGAGGGUUUUUUUUACUCUUUCAAGGGGAUCGAAAAAAGCAAAACCCAACGAUCCUUUUCCACAACAGGGGUGGGGAAUGAAAAAACUCAACAUUCAGACAACUUCAAAAUGCAAACUCUUCCUCAAAGCCAUGCGGGUGAUGCCAUAGGAGAAAGCAGCUCCCGCAGAAAGCGCUCAUGGCCCCCGGCCUCCCCACCUCGGCCUGGUGGGCAACUUCCGAGAGGCCAUAAAACACACCAAAUAAAGCCCAGCUUUGGAGAACCUGGUUUAUUUUUACCAUGUUCUUUUUGGUCUUAUCUUCUACCUUACUACUAUGCAGUUCCCAUUACAAAUCCCCUGUGAAGGCCUCCAAAUGGACAUUUAACGCUAAGCUUAGCUGAGACCCAACAACAAACUCCAAACCUUUCUGAAAUAAAGGGGUUUUUUCAUGUGUGUGUUUUGGGGUUUUUUUAAACAAUCUGCAGAACAUCUUUCCUCAUGUUCCUGCCCAGGAAACUCACCUCCCUUUAACGAAAGCCGUAUUUCCUUCACACAAGCUAUUUGAAAACCACAAGGAACGAAGCCCAAACUUCACCACCUUUCUGCUCGUUUUUCACAGCACCUGACAGAUGGUGCCAUGCACAAAAAUUCUCACAAGCGUUUAACGCCCGCAGGCGUUCACAGGCUCCAGUGUUUGUCCCCAGACGCUCACAGCAACGUGGGUAAGAGACCCACCUCUCGAGGUGGACACAACUGGUUUUGCCUUUUCCACCCUGCCAGCUGAGACAGGACAAGACUUGAGUGACAAAGUUCUUCCAGACAUACAAUUUCAGAAGAAUUCAGCGUCAUGAAGACCUUAAUAAUUGCACAGCGUCACAAAAUUGGCCAUUUCCACUUAAAAUAAAAGCCGUACGAGGAUCUCCACUUUGCUAAAACCCCUGAGAAAUACUACAGAAAUUGCAAGAAACAUUUCUUCAGACAAUAACAAACUGCCCUUGGUUGUUCCAGACAAAUUCCACUUUAGAAAGGAAAAAAUGAAUAGGAAAUUUGGUAAAUCCAUCCAGGGAUGACAAGCCAGAAUUUACUGCCCAGGGUAUGGAGGUGCAAAUAAAUCUCUGCCUGGUCUGGGUGUGUGAAACCCGAAUACGCAGCACAGCCUGGGUGAGCACCUUGCCAGGAAAAAGGGGCGAGGUAGCUUUCCCUCCCCACCGGGUAAGAGGGGCUUGCGUAUUUAUGUUGCUAAAUUCAGAGUGGGUUAAAAAUUAAACAGAAGAAUCCAUUUGUGCUUUAAAAGGCUUCAAGGCCAGGCGGGGUUUUGCUUUACAAACUAAAGGUAUGGUUAAAUGUUUAUGAAUAUCUAACUCAUUGUUCAGAAACAUCUGAAACUCCUUUCUGAUCCUUCAAAAUGAAGUAUGAUCCACCAGAUUCUACUACUUGCUCUACUAAAUUUGAAUUUACUGUAUUAAUAAGAAAAGUUUAUUUCCCUUUCCUCGCAGAGCAUCAUCUAGUUUUCCAUUACUACAACUAGAAAUUGCCAAGAAAAUGAAAUGCUAAAGCACAGCAGACACUGCUUAUCUUCUGAUUAAAUCUUGAAACUUUGUUCCAGUGGGAUCAUAUUUAGUCUUCUCAAAUGCAGAGCAGUAUUUCAUCCUGUCUCGACAUUCCAACAAUGACAUUUUAAAAAUAUUACGAGUUUCUUGGACCACCUUCUAUCCACUCUGCAACGAGCAAAUGCACACCAGAGAUAUUCUUUUACUUCCCAGCUUGGGAUUUUUUUUAAACCUUAAAUAUAACCAGGCCUCCUUUCAAUUCAUCUUCUCUAGGAUAGGGUUUGUGUUUUUUUGAGACCUCUGGAAGUCUCACCAAUGUUUUUUAAGCAGUAGUAAGUAUGAAGAUCUUUGGCAAAAGGUUGUCUUUAUCUAAGCAUUAAGAUAUCAUCAAAGAGAGAGGUGUUGGAAAUAAACAAGGCUUUCAAGCAGCCUAAAAGUUUUUUCAAAUAUUCUAGAGGUGCGCCUCUCUCCACCAGCCAAGCCAGGACCUGGAUUUUUAAAUCCAGGAGAAAAACAAUAAUUAAAAGAAGUAGUAAAUAAAUCUUUGCACGGUUCUCUAGACAUUGUGGUGGGGGAUAUCAGAAGAGGAGAAACUGAUUCCCUCAUCGUCACUUCUGCACACCCUCCCCAGUGUCAGCCCAUCGAACCCUUCCAGAAGGUCCAACAUUGGAGCAGGGUCAGGAGAAUGAGCAAGCUGCUGCGUGGUGUUUAGCUGCUGACUGGGGCUGAACCACAACACCGAUAUACUUAUUUACUUAAUGGAUAUUUUCAGUUUUGGAAAAGAACUGGUAUGUGAAGGAAACACUUCCAACUCUGGAAACCCUUCACCAAACAGAGCAUAAAACAUUUCCAGGUACAAUGGCAGCUUGUUGGUUUCCGGUCUUAGGGUGAACUUACGCUUAAAAAGCUAAAUACCUCAGAGACAAUUCAACCUGAAUUUUCAAAUUAUUAAAAGAAAUCCAGUGCUUCGCUCUAGUACUCUUCUUUUUUCCUCCUGUACAUAGUUGAUGAAGUCACACAAAUACAGAACUACCGCAGCUAUCACAGAACCAAGGACACGGGUGGAUCUCUAGGACAUGCAUACUUGGAUUUGUUUGGGGUUUUUUAAUUCUUCCAGGUCUGCCCUUUGUGCUGCAAGGCAACAGUGGGAAAGGAAUGGCAAAGCAACACAUCAACCUUUUCAGUGUUAGUGGCAGCAGGGAAUGGGAGGAAACUGGACAAUAACACUCAUCAUUUCCCAGCACUUUAAAAUAUAUCCUUGUAUUAAGUAGUUGGACCUUCAAAUUUGCUUAUUCCCUCACUUAAGGAAGUAAAAUAUUUGCCCCAUUCUCCAACUGCACAGCCAGGGACGUAGCAAGGCCUCGUCUCCAUACACCCCCACUUUGCCCAGCCAGCACCUCAGGGACGCUGCCCAGAGCCGCCAUGGAAAAUAAUUAACAACAGCAACAGCAUUCCCUGCCGAUCUGUUUCAUGCCAACUUCAUCUUUUUACGUUUCACGCCAGUUUACUUCUACGUCAAUGAGUAACGCUUUGCCACGCAACGCGUAUUUGCACAGCCCGGGCUCACAACUCCUCGCCGUGCCUCAGAAAACAACCCGCAAAACCCAAGGGACAGUCGCUUUGGGCCGGGCAACAACCGGCCGUGACCUUACCUGUCGCUGCUGGUACUGCUGCUGCUGCUGAUGGAGUCGCUGCUGGAAGAUCUGCUCCUGGAUCCGCUGCCGCUGGGGGAGCGGGUGGGUCUGGACGCCUGGCUGGCCAGCCUCUGCGGGGACUGCGUCCUGGACUGGGACGAAUGCGGCGACCGACUCCUGCUGUGCUGGUAAUUCCUCUCUGGCCUUCUGCCUCGUACCUCCCGUGUAAUAUCAUCCCUGUAGAUAUCCCUGUGUACCACACUGGGCAAUGUAAACUGCUCCCGGGCCCUAGGUUCGUAACGGGGGUCGUGAGCAUCAAAACGGUUUGGACUUCGACUCCGAGAAGUAUAAUAGAGCCCGUGUUGUAAAGUCCGCUCUCGAGGAUCUCUAUAGUAAUCCUGAUCGUAAUGUCUUGUCCGAUCAAAUCCUCCCGUCCCCCGCUCAUGGUGUCCAUAGGCACUAUGUUCAUAAGCACGCUCCCUGUUAUCUGAAGCCCUGCAUUUAGGAAGGGGGAAAAAUAUUUCAUCAGAGAGGGGCAAGCACAACUAAAAGCAAAUCAUGCAAACAUUCAUGUCAGCACUGAACUUGUUUUUGCGACUGCUUCUCCACUAAACAGCAAUAACCUAUCAAGCAAACACUGACAAACUUAAAAACAUUUUACUUGACUCCAAAGUUAUAAUCGUAUACGAUAAAGCUGAGCAAUUAUUUCAUUUUAAUCACAAUAUCGGGCUUUCAUGACCAGCGUCUUGCCUGCACGGGAAAAAAAUGCUGCUUUCCAGUGCAGAAUCCUCAUUUAAGUGGUGCUUGGUUUUUUUUCUUUUUCUUUUAAAUUCAGUAAACAAGAAAAACUUCAUGUUUGUGGACAUCAUAAUUAACUCCCCCCCCCCUCCAUUUUUGCUUAAGAGCUUCAAAAAAAUUUUCUGGAAUUUGGUAAUUACUGGAGCUCUUCUAAUUAUCCUUCUGCAAAAAUGGCAUUGCAAAUCGGGCUGUAGCCAUGAAAGCCUCCGUGCAAAGCAUGACCCAGAGGUAAGAAGCUGCUUUCAAAAGGGGUAGCAUAACCCAUAGAGAAGGCCCAGAAAAUCAGGGGGUUUCUUGUGGUUGUUCUCAUCCUAUAUAUUUCAUCCUCUUAGAGGGAAUUUUGCUUUUAUCGGGCUGCUACACUUGAUGCUCAUCAAAGCUGCGUACCCUCAGGAAACUUCUCGAUUACUCAUGUCAGAAUACUUAAACUGCAAGGGCGCAGGCCCCAAAAAGAUGCUAAGACCCUAGGCAAGGAGUAUAAAUCACAUUUUUCGGUAGGUGUUUUUGUCUGUUGAGACUGCUAUUGUUACUGCAAUCACAGAACGUCUGCCUUCGCAAGCACGCUACCCGCACGUAGCUGAGGUCCAUUUUGUUUCAGUAUUUCCAACAUUGUGUAAGUCAAUUGAGAAAGGCUCUAUGUUCUACGAAAGUUAGCGCAAUCUCUCAAAUAAAGAGAUAGUAAAACUGGCAGAUAAAGUUAAACAAACAUUACGAAUAGUUUUGUAGUCUAAUUUAGACAAGUACUGGGACAGUACGGCUAAGUUACAUCCGCAAAAUAGAAAAAUUAUUACAUUGAAUGGUUGAAAAAUACUUGCAAAAUUCUAAAUAUGUCAGGGUAGUCAAAGUUAAUUUAAAACUUUAAUUAUCCAUCUUAUGAAGGACAUUUCAACCUUUUUUUCCAGCCUUCUCUCUCAGAUUCUUCCUUCAGAAUCCAUUAUUAGUCACUUCAAUCCCCCAAAUCCUAAUAACCCAAUUCUGCCUUGCGCUUCCUCCUCCUCCUCUCCUGCAUCACGAGUCUGUCUUCCAUUUAAAAUGGCAGAAGUAUUUCAGGUAUCUUUUAUAAACUGAAAAUGGAAUUCGCAUCUUUUUUGAUUAGCAUCUCAGGAAGUUACUUCCAUUUCUUCUCCAAUGAAUCACUAGGUCCUUUAUCCCCUAAAUAUAUUCAUCCUCUGUUGUUCAAUUAGAACUCAUUUUCAAGCUUUCUACAGAGCUAGCUCAUGUUUUUGCCUGCAUUUUUCCUCUCAAAUUAUAUAUAAGAAACUACCUAACCAGUGCAACAGAAUGUCAUUAACUUAUAUAUCUGCUUGAAAUUCAUUGUUGCCUUUCUAUUUUUAUUAUCUCUUGCUCACAACAAUGGCAUUUUGAAAGAUAUUUCAGGAUCUGGCACAGAAACAUGUCUUUCCUUCCCCCCCCCCCCCCCCCUUUUGAAGGACCAAGAUCAACAAUUUCAUCAACGAUUGCAUUUAGCAUCCUACAAAGUGUUAAUCAGUGAAAGCUGAUUUAAUGAGGUAAGAGAAAAAGCAGUAUUUUCUAGAGGGUUACUGCUAUAUAGCUGACAUAAAAGAACAAAGUCCUUAUCCAUGAAAAGGACACAGACGACAGACAGAGGAACUAGCAGAGCUGAAAAUCUAAUGGCUACAGUGCUUUUUUGAUUUAUCUAUUAGUACUAAGUGCUACUGGAGUUAGUGGAAAGAGAGGGUUUGACUUGGGUUAGGAGAGGGGCUAAUAUACACAGGGCAGGACAUACCAACCUUUUCCAAGUGUGGAAACACGACCUAUAUUCCCAAUUAAAUCUAGGGAGAGAAUUGUGAACAUAACUUCCCCAAUUUUGGCCCCUCUUACAGGGGUAAUCCACCUUCUUAAUGGGCAAGGGUGUCAAAUGAUAUUUUAGAUGAACCAACAAGAAAAAAAAAAUCUUAGUGACAAGACAAAAAAAAAAUUCCACUGGAAGGAAGUAGUCCCAGACUGAAACCAUAACUCUGAAACCCCCAGACUUCUUUCUUGAGACAGAAGGCACUUAAAUAGAUCCAUUAUUUUAAUUUCCAGCCCUAUGUCUGAAUCAAGCAGCUGGUAGAAGAUCACCCAAUGCACGAGGGCACUCGGCGCUGCUGGCCAGCAGGCAUCCUCUAGCCGCCUUUGUAACCAUCCAGCCCAGUCAUUUCUCACUGGCGUAUCCACAAACUGGUAUUAGUGCCACGUCCUUAAAACUAAAGUAUGUUUAAUGUGGAGUAGCAAAGAGCUUUUUUAAGAGACUAGAUAGUAAUCCACUCCCCAUGGCUACUGGCGUCUUGACUGUAUACCAUCCAAUAAAUUCAAGGCAGUAGUUCUUAUCCCAGCAUUUAAAAAAAACACACUAUAAUUUCCAAAAUUUAGUAAUGUCCAUCAUCUCUUUUUGCCAAUACCAUCAGAAAGAAUAAUCCCAAUAACUUGGAAAUGAUGUAGAUCCAAAAUGGAACCAUCACAAGCUGCCUUCGGUCUUCUCCAUCCAAGCGUUAUUUCCAUGGCUAAAAGUUGUCUGUAGAAUCCAAGGGGCCGCAUCAUUAAAGUCUACUAGAAAUUUUGUGAUGACAAUCCAAUUAACAUACCAACUGCGUACAGUGAGAACUGAGAGCUAGGCAGCGAGCUUUCACAGCAUUUUAGGUUCUAGUAUUCCGAAGAUACUCCACAGAGAACUUCACCACAUGUUGUAGAGUAAGAUAGCUCCAUCUGGCAGCAGGGAUACAUCCGAGCAAGGCCUUAAUAUUAUCCAAGAAAUGGAAUCGUUACUUCUAGAAAAGAGUAACUCCAAUAUCGAUGCUGGCCAAAGGAAAUCUUCCAUCUUAAAACCACCUUACUUCAAGUGUAGAUAUCCAACCAGCUGCAGAAAACAUCCUCUAUGGAUCCACAAGGUACCAGCCACUGGGAUAGAAAUCACUUCCGUUUCCAACCCAAAAUAGGAAACAUAGAUAAUUCCCAAAAUUUUAAAUCCAUCUGGGGGCCCUAGAUAUGAGUUUGUGUUUCUCACCAUAUCAAAUACAAAAUACCUGCCUAGAGAAACCUUGGAACUUACCCAUCAAGUCUCCGCUCAUAACGUCCUUCCCGUGCAUGAAGUGAUGGUGGGGGACCGUAAGUGGGCCCCCCCCCACCUCCUCUGAACCCAGAAACCUCUCUACUACGAGAUGCUAUGGAAACUGUAUCAUCCAAUCCCCGAGCAGCACUGGGAAUGGUUCCUGGUUCAUUAUAAUCCGUCCGUAGGUCUCUAUCUCCCAUUUUGUUGACAGAGUUGUGUGCCUUCUGCGCACUUUUGAUGUCCACAAAAUCCACAAACGCUGCCACUCCGCCUUCCGACCCCCUCUUAGGGAGUAUUUUGACGCUUUCGACACGUCCAUAUCUGGAAGAAAAGCAAAGCAGAGCACGUAUGUUAGUGCUGGUAGAAAAUGACUGUGUUUAAUAACAUCGCCUCGUGCAAAAUCAACACCAGUUUCAAACCCUUUGCCCUUCCCACAUGGCAGGAAAAUCAAUCUCAAAGCACAGCAGAGGUUGGCAGGUGUGUCUUCAAAAAGUAGAGGGGAAAAGCCAUUUACACCUUCUCAUAGUAAUUAUCUCUCAACUCAACUCAAGCUGUACUUGAAACUCCUCUCUUUUGGUUAGCCUACCACGAGAUUGCCCUUUUUAUAACAACAGAGCAACAGCAGCCAAAGAAAUAGAAAGGUAUUUGCAAUUAGAGCAGCCCUCCUCAUUUUUAAUCUGACGAGCAAGACAUAAUUAAAACCAAACUGUGUCACAACAAGCAAAAAUAAAGACAUCCCAACAAUUUUCUCAAGAAAAAAAAUGACCUUGACAUAGCAAUUCCACUACUCCGAUCUAUGUUUAAUCCAUUCAGCGCCAAAACCAGACACUUCAUUCUGAUCCUCGUUCCUGAUCUCAGACCCAUUUAUUCACAACUGUCUCGAAGGGCGCUUUUGAAGCGUGGCUGACACGGGCCCCCCCGGACUGGGCUGCUUCCGGGGUUCAGGUUUACGCCCCCCCGGCCACAGACCAAGCUACGCAACAGGACACUGAGGAAAGCCGACGGGAACGUGACACCACCCUACUUAAUGUAUGUCAAAUUAAGUAAUUGCAACACAGGCGCUUACGGAUGAGUAAAUGUCUACGUAAAAAAUAAAUACAAACAAACAUGUUUGUGCACAUGAGAAAACACGCUGUAAAAGUGCUUUUAAAUAACUUGCGUCAACUCAUAGCAGAAAGGAUAAAGCGGAAAGUACAAACACAGCAAUGUUUUAAAACGGCUGAGAACUGCAGGUUGUGUUUUGGGUCCUCAUCUCUCUCACCCAAGGGCUUUAACUGCAGCUGUUAAUCCAUGACAAAAGAGGCAAAACACGUAUUUUUGAGUGCACUGACAAAUGGGAAAGGGGCACACACAAAUAAAAAAACUAAUCAAGAAAUAUUUGUAAACUCUAUGAAGAAUUACUGCAAAAAAUCUUUCGAUUCACAAAGGCAGCACAACGCUGAACAGAUGUAAACAGACCUUAAAAAAGAAAAGCUGUUUUCAGCUACACACAGGAAAAAGCUAACACAGCUGCCUGCGGAGCAAUGCUGUCAGCACCUGCACCUGACCGUUUUGUGCCUGCCACCUUUGUACCGGCGGGGACAGCACAGUGCCAUGUCAUUCUCUGGAGUUUCCUGACCUGUGACACCAAACUGGUCAUUUUUUAUUCUCAUUAAAAGCUGCAAGGGGCAAAUAACAGCAAAUGGCACUGAAGGAAAGAGAAUUCUCAAAGUCUGCACUCUGCUAAGGCUGGAUCAGGUUAUCUUACCUUGAAGGCAAGACUCAGAAAAAACAGAAAAGUAGAGGAUAUGGUUAAUAAAGCCUAUGUGGUGAAAAAAAUGGCCUAAUUGGAUGUGGCACAUGUAAAGAGAGAAGAAACAAAUAAGGAAGAAGGUGGAAGGAAAACAGGAAAGAGCCUGCUUGAAAAAAUGUUCACGCCAUGAAUGAACGUGACAAAAAAAUAUGAAAAAUAACUGGGUGCCCGAGUCAGCAUCACCCUUUAACAGGAGUUUCGGUGCCGGUUCUCUACAGACAGCAAGGGAAAGGUGUAACCCGACAGAGUGCUCUAACUCUCACAUCCGUUGAGUUUUUCUUCUAAAUAACGUAGUUACAGAAGUGACUGGUUAGAACACGGACUUCCCUUUCGUUCAGUGUUUACACAUUUGGUUUCUGGCAACACAAGCCCAUAUUUUGUCUACAGUCUUCAGGGGGGAAAAAAAAAUAGUGUCUUAGCACUGCUCCGAAAACCUAAGAUCCUAAUGGAGCUUUCCGACUGCAGUCACCACAGCCUACUCAGGAUGAAGUGCUGCCUGCCAGUUACGUCAGAAAUGGGCUCUGAAAGACUCUUCCCACUCACCAUCCUGACAAUUCUUUUAUUUCCUCAUUCCGAAAUCAUAACACGUACGUGUUAUUAUAACAUACGUGCAGACCCCAACUAUUUUUCUUCUGCUGUAGAUCCAGAAAUGCAUUAAAAUGUUCAAAUAUUUGAGCUAAUGCUGCCCAGAAAGAGCAGAAGAUACAGAACAUUGACGUGAUAUGCUCCCCAGGUAUCAAUAAAAUCACCCUUCAAACACACAA
Molecule: non-coding RNA, 9754 nt
Organism: Phalacrocorax carbo (great cormorant)
Lineage: Eukaryota; Metazoa; Chordata; Aves; Suliformes; Phalacrocoracidae
Source: RefSeq, a predicted model, not a curated record